AUUGAACGCUGGCGGCAUGCCUUACACAUGCAAGUCGAACGGCAGCACGGACUUCGGUCUGGUGGCGAGUGGCGAACGGGUGAGUAAUAUAUCGGAACGUGCCCUGGAGUGGGGGAUAACUAGUCGAAAGACUAGCUAAUACCGCAUACGAUCUACGGAUGAAAGUGGGGGAUCGCAAGACCUCAUGCUCGUGGAGCGGCCGAUAUCUGAUUAGCUAGUUGGUGGGGUAAAGGCCUACCAAGGCGACGAUCAGUAGCGGGUCUGAGAGGAUGAUCCGUCACACUGGAACUGAGACACGGUCCAGGCACCUACGGGUGGCAG
Molecule: ribosomal RNA, 321 nt
Filed under: uncultured Pseudomonadota bacterium
Lineage: Bacteria; Pseudomonadati; Pseudomonadota
Description: bacterial SSU rRNA
Rfam family: Bacterial small subunit ribosomal RNA
Source: RNAcentral